This 483-nucleotide ribosomal RNA is filed under the name uncultured bacterium. RNAcentral describes it as "partial 16S ribosomal RNA". It matches the Rfam family "Bacterial small subunit ribosomal RNA", at positions 30 to 507 of the family's 1533-position model. The record is from RNAcentral.
AUUGAACGCUGGCGGCAGGCCUAACACAUGCAAGUCGAGCGGAUGAAGGGAGCUUGCUCCUGGAUUCAGCGGCGGACGGGUGAGUAAUGCCUAGGAAUCUGCCUGGUAGUGGGGGAUAACGUCCGGAAACGGGCGCUAAUACCGCAUACGUCCUGAGGGAGAAAGUGGGGGAUCUUCGGACCUCACGCUAUCAGAUGAGCCUAGGUCGGAUUAGCUAGUUGGUGGGGUAAAGGCCUACCAAGGCGACGAUCCGUAACUGGUCUGAGAGGAUGAUCAGUCACACUGGAACUGAGACACGGUCCAGACUCCUACGGGAGGCAGCAGUGGGGAAUAUUGGACAAUGGGCGAAAGCCUGAUCCAGCCAUGCCGCGUGUGUGAAGAAGGUCUUCGGAUUGUAAAGCACUUUAAGUUGGGAGGAAGGGCAGUAAGUUAAUACCUUGCUGUUUUGACGUUACCAACAGAAUAAGACCGGCUAACUUCGUG